This 76-nucleotide transfer RNA is filed under the name Arthrobacter agilis. RNAcentral describes it as "tRNA-Pro(cgg)". It matches the Rfam family "tRNA". Rfam says of the family: Transfer RNA (tRNA) molecules are approximately 80 nucleotides in length. Their secondary structure includes four short double-helical elements and three loops (D, anti-codon, and T loops). The record is from RNAcentral. RNAcentral also lists the same sequence under 2 other names. Lineage: Bacteria; Bacillati; Actinomycetota; Actinomycetes; Micrococcales; Micrococcaceae.
CGGGGUGUGGCGCAGCUUGGUAGCGCGCGUCGUUCGGGACGACGAGGUCGCAGGUUCAAAUCCUGUCACCCCGACC